RNAcentral lists this ribosomal RNA (468 nucleotides) under uncultured bacterium. Its description in RNAcentral is "partial 16S ribosomal RNA". It matches the Rfam family "Bacterial small subunit ribosomal RNA", at positions 28 to 507 of the family's 1533-position model. The record is from RNAcentral.
GACGAACGCUGGCGGCGUGCUUAACACAUGCAAGUCGAACGGAAAGGCCCUGCUUUUGUGGGGUGCUCGAGUGGCGAACGGGUGAGUAACACGUGAGUAACCUGCCCUUUACUUUGGGAUAACUUCAGGAAACUGGGGCUAAUACCGGAUAGGAUCUCCUGCUGCAUGGUGGGGGUUGGAAAGUUUCGGCGGUUGGGUAUGGACUCGCGGCUUAUCAGCUUGUUGGUGGGGUAGUGGCUUACCAAGGCUUUGACGGGUAGCCGGCCUGAGAGGGUGACCGGCCACAUUGGGACUGAGAUACGGACCAGACUCCUACGGGAGGCAGCAGUGGGGAAUAUUGCACAAUGGGCGGAAGCCUGAGGCAGCAACGCCGCGUGCGGGAUGACGGCCUUCGGGUUGUAAACCGCUUUCGCCUGUGACGAAGCGUGAGUGACGGUAAUGGGUAAAGAAGCACCGGCUAACUACGUG